RNAcentral lists this non-coding RNA (21 nucleotides) under Caenorhabditis elegans. Lineage: Eukaryota; Metazoa; Nematoda; Chromadorea; Rhabditida; Rhabditidae. The record is from RNAcentral.
UAUAAUCAUCAUUUCAAUUUU